AGGCGAUAAUUCUUUUUGUUCAUAAUCCCCCAGGAAUAUUUUCUCUUUGUUAGGAUAAUAUCAAGAAGAUUUGAACUGCUAUUUGCUCUUCUAAAAUUCUACUUCCUGCAGCCAUGGCAGUUUCUGCAGAAACUGUCCAAGGAAAGCAGCUGUUUUUUUUGAACUGGAUGACGAACAUUUAUUAAACUUUACAAGCUCUCAAUUCUGCGCUAAACUUCUUGAAAUUCUAUAGUCCAAAGCAUUUUUUAAAUUCCAUAGUGAUAUUCUCCAUCCCUUUUGAUUCAAAUGAAGAUAACAGAUUCUGAUGAAUAUUACAAGCAAAAAGAAGAAAGAAAUUUGGAAGUGUUAAUACAAUCUUAAUGUGCUUUGCUGG
RNAcentral lists this unclassified non-coding RNA (373 nucleotides) under Hevea brasiliensis (rubber tree). Lineage: Eukaryota; Viridiplantae; Streptophyta; Magnoliopsida; Malpighiales; Euphorbiaceae. The record is from RNAcentral.